RNAcentral lists this ribosomal RNA (253 nucleotides) under uncultured bacterium. RNAcentral's name for it is "partial 16S ribosomal RNA". It matches the Rfam family "Bacterial small subunit ribosomal RNA", at positions 524 to 776 of the family's 1533-position model. The record is from RNAcentral.
UACGUAGGGUGCGAGCGUUAAUCAGAAUUACUGGGCGUAAAGCGUGCGCAGGCGGUUCGCCAAGUCAGGUGUGAAAUCCCCGGGCUUAACCUGGGAAUUGCGCUUGAAACUAGCGGGCUUGAGUGUGGCAGAGGGGGGUGGAAUUCCACGUGUAGCAGUGAAAUGCGUAGAGAUGUGGAGGAACACCGAUGGCGAAGGCAGCCCCCUGGGUCAACACUGACGCUCAUGCACGAAAGCGUGGGGAGCAAACAGG